This 568-nucleotide long non-coding RNA is filed under the name Callithrix jacchus (white-tufted-ear marmoset). RNAcentral's name for it is "lncRNA (ENSCJAG00000083030.1)". Lineage: Eukaryota; Metazoa; Chordata; Mammalia; Primates; Cebidae. The record is from RNAcentral.
CGGACCGAAUCGGGGACUCCGGUGGCGUGGGCGCGGGCCGAACCGGGACCGGGCCGAGUUGGGUGGCAAAGUAGGACGUGGAUUCGGGGGCGGGGCGCGGCGGGAGGGGGAAACCAGGCCUGGCCGGACUGGCCUGGGCGUGGGGGCGGGGGGCGAGUUCGGGGCACUUGCUGGGCUCUGGACCGAGCGGUAGGGCGGGGCGGCGCUAGGGGCUGGGCCGGACCCGCAGGGAGAGGGCGAGGGGAGGGAGAGCGGGGGGUGGAGUAGGGGCGUGGAGUUGUGAGCGGGGUCUGGCUCGACCAGGGGCGAAGGUAGAUCGGCGGGGCCGCGAGCGGAGGGAGGGAGGCCCGCGGCAGCGCGGCGGCAGCGAAGGCCAGCUUCCGCGGAGUUUGUGCCCGGGCUUCCCGGGCUCCGGCCGCCUCACGCGCACAAAUGGGGCUAGGGGACAGAGUGGGUCGGCUUGGCGAAGGACGGCUAGCCUCGGAGGGAAAGUAGACACCAGUUCAACUCAGGUCGCCCCCACCAUUACUUCGGUGAGGGGGCAACGCUAAGAAGGGGAUACUGGUGG